GACGAACGCUGGCGGCGUGCCUAAUACAUGCAAGUCGAACGCACAGUUUAUACCGUAGCUUGCUACACCAUAGACUGUGAGUUGCGAACGGGUGAGUAACGCGUAGGUAACCUGCCUGGUAGCGGGGGAUAACUAUUGGAAACGAUAGCUAAUACCGCAUAAUAUUAAUUAUUGCAUGAUAAUUAAUUGAAAGGUGCAAUUGCACCACUACCAGAUGGACCUGCGUUGUAUUAGCUAGUAGGUGAGGUAACGGCUCACCUAGGCGACGAUACAUAGCCGACCUGAGAGGGUGAUCGGCCACACUGGGACUGAGACACGGCCCAGACUCCUACGGGAGGCAGCAGUAGGGAAUCUUCGGAAAUGGACGAAAGUCUGACCGAGCAACGCCGCGGGAGUGAAGAAGGUUUUCGGAUCGUAAAGCUCGGUUGUAAGAGAAGAACGGGUGUGAGAGUGGAAAGUUCACACUGUGACGGUAUCUUACCAGAAAGGGACGGCUAACUACGUG
This 505-nucleotide ribosomal RNA is filed under the name uncultured bacterium. Its description in RNAcentral is "partial 16S ribosomal RNA". It matches the Rfam family "Bacterial small subunit ribosomal RNA", at positions 28 to 507 of the family's 1533-position model. The record is from RNAcentral.